This 117-nucleotide ribosomal RNA is filed under the name Periophthalmus magnuspinnatus. The record is from RNAcentral. Lineage: Eukaryota; Metazoa; Chordata; Actinopteri; Gobiiformes; Gobiidae.
ACUGAAAGCCAUAUCAGCUUGUCAAACCCUGAUUUCAUCAGAUCUCAGAAGCUACGCAGGGCUGGGCCUAGUUAGUACUUGGAUGGGAGACCAGUGGGAAUACCAGGGACCACAGUG